Molecule: non-coding RNA, 1021 nt
Organism: Macaca mulatta (Rhesus monkey)
Lineage: Eukaryota; Metazoa; Chordata; Mammalia; Primates; Cercopithecidae
Source: RefSeq, a predicted model, not a curated record
UUUGUGGCUGCUCAACAACCCUAGAGGGCAGAAAUGGGACCUGGUCAUGUGGCCACUGAAGUGGAGCAAAGGGCACUGGCAUGGAGUGACAGCGGGCAGCGCCUGCCAGCCUCUCUCACAGGGCCAGGGCUCCUCCAGGGCAGGGGGCCCAGGCUACUCUUAAAAUGGAGGGGAGAGGAUGAGGAUUUUCCCAGAGGUCCCUGGCCUUGCCCUGAAGCCCCUUAGGGGCCUGGUACACCAAAUGUCACCCUUGGGCCGGUUCUUGGUCCUAAGAAGAGAGAUUGGGGAUGAGUGGUGUUGGCCUCUGGGCUGCCCACCCCUUGCAGGCCAGACAGAAUAUAUAAGGGAGACCUGAAAGCAGUGGUGCAGUGACAGAGAGGCACCAACAGACGGGAGAGGCACUGCCCCAACCCCUCCCCGGGCCUGCAGGGAGGCUGGGGUCUUUGGGCCUGCUGACCUCUACAGUAAUCAAGGCCCCCAGGAGUCCCUUGGUGAGAUUCGGAGCUCCCAAGCCCAGCCCAAGAUCACAGGCCCCUGAGGGCAGCUGCUGUGACUUCGCAUGGCUUUAGGCUCAGAGUACAUGUGGGUACGUGCUCCUGAGUCUACAAGGAAAUCACAGCCAUAUCAUACUGCAAGUCCAGAAGAACCAACAGAAGAUUUCCGCACGGGUGCCACCAAAGUCAAUGAGGAUUAGCUAUUUUACAUGCCCAGUGACAAGGGACACCCUUGUUUAUUCUUCAUGUGACUGGCCUUUGGCUAAUUUCAUCCAGUUACUUGAGCUCUUGCGUGAAGCCUGCUGAGCCUUUCCCUCUGUUCCUGCUGCAGUGCGCAAUACACUUUUGGUCUUUGCCCCUCCAAAGCUCUGCGGGAAGGCACUGUGCCAUCCCUGUGUGUAUCUGAGUAUUUUCCAACAUCCAAAACAGUCUAUCUUGCAGCUUGGGUUGUAUAGUUUAUUUGAAAACUUGCUUCUUGUUUCUGUUUCCCAAAAAGUUACCCCCAAAUAAAUACUGCCUAACAGCCA